Molecule: non-coding RNA, 262 nt
Organism: Castor canadensis (American beaver)
Lineage: Eukaryota; Metazoa; Chordata; Mammalia; Rodentia; Castoridae
Source: RefSeq, a predicted model, not a curated record
UAGGAAAUGGUCAAAGGCAAACUUCAAAGUAAAUGUAGAAGAAAACAAAAAGUAAAACUGUCUUGUAAUCUGAAGCCUAAAACAUUGUUUUGCAGAGCUCAAGAAUGCAGAGGUCAAGAGAAAGCUUUGAAGGAUGUGCUAGAACUAGCUUUAUUCAGAAUCUGGAGGCCAGCAUUUCAGCCAAAAGGAAAAACAUGUUUUAUGUACCUAAAUUGGAAGAAAAACUAUUUUGCUUUGAUUCUCAAGAGCUUGUAGGUAAGUG